CAACUACUCCCUCUGUCCCAAAUUUCUUGUCUUAGAUUUGUCUAGAUACGGAUGUAUCUAAUACUAAAAUGUGACUUGAUACAUCCGUAUCUAGACAAAUCUAAGACAAUAAUUUUGGGAUGGAGGGAGUACUUU
This is a non-coding RNA of Triticum aestivum (bread wheat), 135 nucleotides long. NCBI's taxonomy places the organism in Eukaryota, Viridiplantae, Streptophyta, Magnoliopsida, Poales, Poaceae. The record is from Rfam.